UGCAUGGACGAAGUUGACGGAUCACGCCGCGUGAGUGAUGAAGGUUUCGGAUCGUAAAACUCUGUUGUUAGGGAAGAACAAGUACCGUUCGAACAGGGCGGUACCUUGACGGUACCUAACCAGAAAGCCACGGCUAACUACGUGCCAGCAGCCGCGGUAAUACGUAGGUGGCAAGCGUUGUCCGGAAUUAUUGGGCGUAAAGCGCUCGCAGGCGGUUCUUUAAGUCUGAUGUGAAAUCUUACGGCUUAACCGUAAACGUGCAUUGGAAACUGGGGAACUUGAGUGCAGAAGAGGAGAGUGGAAUUCCACGUGUAGCGGUGAAAUGCGUAGAGAUGUGGAGGAACACCAGUGGCGAAGGCGACUCUCUGGUCUGUAACUGACGCUGAGGAGCGAAAGCGUGGGGAGCGAACAGGAUUA
RNAcentral lists this ribosomal RNA (417 nucleotides) under uncultured bacterium. RNAcentral describes it as "bacterial SSU rRNA". It matches the Rfam family "Bacterial small subunit ribosomal RNA", at positions 367 to 780 of the family's 1533-position model. The record is from RNAcentral.